RNAcentral lists this ribosomal RNA (253 nucleotides) under uncultured bacterium. RNAcentral describes it as "partial 16S ribosomal RNA". It matches the Rfam family "Bacterial small subunit ribosomal RNA", at positions 524 to 776 of the family's 1533-position model. The record is from RNAcentral.
UACGUAGGGUGCGAGCGUUGUCCGGAAUUAUUGGGCGUAAAGAGCUCGUAGGCGGUUUGUUGCGUCUAUCGUGAAAACCUGCAGCUUAACUGUGGGCUUGCGGUGGAUACGGGCAGACUUGAGUUCGGUAGGGGAGACUGGAAUUCCUGGUGUAGCGGUGAAAUGCGCAGAUAUCGGGAGGAACACCAGUGGCGAAGGCGACUACCUGGCCUGUUCUUGACGCUGAGGCGCGAAAGCUAGGGGAGCAAACGGG